RNAcentral lists this ribosomal RNA (468 nucleotides) under uncultured bacterium. Its description in RNAcentral is "partial 16S ribosomal RNA". It matches the Rfam family "Bacterial small subunit ribosomal RNA", at positions 28 to 507 of the family's 1533-position model. The record is from RNAcentral.
GACGAACGCUGGCGGCGUGCUUAACACAUGCAAGUCGAACGGAAAGGCCCUGCUUUUGUGGGGUGCUCGAGUGGCGAACGGGUGAGUAACACGUGAGUAACCUCCCCUUGACUUUGGGAUAACUUCAGGAAACUGGGGCUAAUACCGGAUAGGAGCUCCUGCUGCAUGGUGGGGGUUGGAAAGUUUCGGCGGUUGGGGAUGGACUCGCGGCUUAUCAGCUUGUUGGUGGGGUAGUGGCUUACCAAGGCUUUGACGGGUAGCCGGCCUGAGAGGGUGACCGGCCACAUUGGGACUGAGAUACGGCCCAGACUCCUACGGGAGGCAGCAGUGGGGAAUAUUGCACAAUGGGCGGAAGCCCGAUGCAGCAACGCCGCGUGCGGGAUGACGGCCUUCGGGUUGUAAACCGCUUUCGCCUGUGACGAAGCGUGAGUGACGGUAAUGGGUAAAGAAGCACCGGCUAACUACGUG